RNAcentral lists this small nucleolar RNA (130 nucleotides) under Sorex araneus (European shrew). Lineage: Eukaryota; Metazoa; Chordata; Mammalia; Eulipotyphla; Soricidae. The record is from RNAcentral.
CUUUAAAAGCAUUUGAUGACCCUUUCACUAAUGACUUGCUGAGCCGUCAAAAAUCUUUAGAGUAUUGGCAUCACCUUUGGGUGAAGCUGCAGUGUUUAGUUGUUCAGUUUCAGUUGGUGGUGUAAGAAGG